AAAAAAGUAAAAAUAUUAGGUAGUAGCAGUUGUCUUAAAACUUAAAAAAUUUGGCGGUGUUUUAAACUUAUCAGAGGAACUUGUUUUAUAAUCGACAAUACACGACAAAUCUUACUUAAACCAAAAACUUGUAUAUCGUUGUGGUAAUAAUAUUUUAUAAUCAUUAUUAGGAAUAAUUUUAUUUUUAAUAUCAGAUCAAGGUUCAGUUGUAUGUUUAAGUGAAAAAUGAGUUACAAUAUAGAAAUAUAUUACGAAAUUUAUUGUUAAAAAAUAAACGAAGGAGGAUUUGAAAGUAUUUUUAUAAUAAUAUGUUAAAUUGAAUUAGCCCUAAAACAUGC
This 338-nucleotide ribosomal RNA is filed under the name Centruroides farri. Its description in RNAcentral is "partial 12S ribosomal RNA". The record is from RNAcentral. Lineage: Eukaryota; Metazoa; Arthropoda; Arachnida; Scorpiones; Buthidae.